RNAcentral lists this ribosomal RNA (700 nucleotides) under Enterobacteriaceae bacterium Y3B8. Its description in RNAcentral is "bacterial SSU rRNA". It matches the Rfam family "Bacterial small subunit ribosomal RNA", at positions 70 to 763 of the family's 1533-position model. The record is from RNAcentral. Lineage: Bacteria; Pseudomonadati; Pseudomonadota; Gammaproteobacteria; Enterobacterales; Enterobacteriaceae.
AGAGAGUAGCUUGCUACUUUGCUGACGAGUGGCGGACGGGUGAGUAAUGUCUGGGGAUCUGCCUGAUGGAGGGGGAUAACUACUGGAAACGGUAGCUAAUACCGCAUAAUGUCGCAAGACCAAAGCGGGGGACUUUCGGGCCUCGCACCAUCAGAUGAACCCAGAUGGGAUUAGCUAGUAGGUAGGGUAAUGGCUUACCUAGGCGACGAUCCCUAGCUGGUCUGAGAGGAUGACCAGCCACACUGGAACUGAGACACGGUCCAGACUCCUACGGGAGGCAGCAGUGGGGAAUAUUGCACAAUGGGCGCAAGCCUGAUGCAGCCAUGCCGCGUGUAUGAAGAAGGCCUUCGGGUUGUAAAGUACUUUCAGUCAGGAGGAAGGGUGUGAAAUUAAUACUUUCAUGCAUUGACGUUACUGACAGAAGAAGCACCGGCUAACUCCGUGCCAGCAGCCGCGGUAAUACGGAGGGUGCAAGCGUUAAUCGGAAUUACUGGGCGUAAAGCGCACGCAGGCGGUUUGUUAAGUCAGAUGUGAAAUCCCCGGGCUCAACCUGGGAACUGCAUUUGAAACUGGCAAGCUUGAGUCUUGUAGAGGGGGGUAGAAUUCCAGGUGUAGCGGUGAAAUGCGUAGAGAUCUGGAGGAAUACCGGUGGCGAAGGCGGCCCCCUGGACAAAGACUGACGCUCAGGUGCGAAAGCGUG